CCUGGAAAUAUUGAGGUUGAGU
RNAcentral lists this microRNA (22 nucleotides) under Alligator mississippiensis (American alligator). RNAcentral's name for it is "Ami-Mir-875_3p* (star (passenger))". Lineage: Eukaryota; Metazoa; Chordata; Crocodylia; Alligatoridae. The record is from RNAcentral.